RNAcentral lists this ribosomal RNA (328 nucleotides) under Streptomyces sp. RNAcentral's name for it is "bacterial SSU rRNA". It matches the Rfam family "Bacterial small subunit ribosomal RNA", at positions 375 to 715 of the family's 1533-position model. The record is from RNAcentral. Lineage: Bacteria; Bacillati; Actinomycetota; Actinomycetes; Kitasatosporales; Streptomycetaceae.
GCGAAAGCCUGAUGCAGCGACGCCGCGUGAGGGAUGACGGCCUUCGGGUUGUAAACCUCUUUCAGCAGGGAAGAAGCGAAAGUGACGGUACCUGCAGAAGAAGCGCCGGCUAACUACGUGCCAGCAGCCGCGGUAAUACGUAGGGCGCAAGCGUUGUCCGGAAUUAUUGGGCGUAAAGAGCUCGUAGGCGGUCUGUCGCGUCGGAUGUGAAAGCCCGGGGCUUAACCCCGGGUCUGCAUUCGAUACGGGCAGACUAGAGUGUGGUAGGGGAGAUCGGAAUUCCUGGUGUAGCGGUGAAAUGCGCAGAUAUCAGGAGGAACACCGGUGG